Long non-coding RNA from Raphanus sativus (radish), 1094 nucleotides. RefSeq lists it as uncharacterized. The transcript has 4 exons. The record is from RefSeq and is a predicted model, not a curated record. NCBI's taxonomy places the organism in Eukaryota, Viridiplantae, Streptophyta, Magnoliopsida, Brassicales, Brassicaceae.
GAAGAAGGUCAAUCGAACCGCAGACGAACCGGGGAUUGAUGAACUCUGUAUCAACGCCAUUGAAGAAGCAGUAAGAAAACAAACUCAAAGAUUGAGACUUUGUGCAGGCAAACCUCAGAGGAUAUGAGUAGGAUGAGAGGUUAAGGAGAUGUACAUUCAGAUUUACUUUGCUCGUCUUCAUCAUGAGAACUCUUAUCUACUCUCUUGCCCCUACCUGGAAACUCCAUUUGCCCCUGGUGAGUGUUUUAACUCAAUAACGGAGAGUCCUUUCUCAUUACAGAUAUCUGGUGUUCUUGUUUGCAGUUUGUAUGAACUUUGUUCAACACACAUGAAGCUUAAACCUUGUGUUCUUGAUGAAUACUCUAAAGAGGUUCGGUUGGUAUACAGUUUAUGUCUCUAGCUUUUAAAGUGAGCACCUCAAAUAUGUCAAUGCAGAGGUCAGUUAAUCCGCUUGUUAACUUUAUGCACCCUGAUGAUACUCCUGAUCCUUGAAGACCAGAGUAGGAGACUUAAGCUUGGGACUUCAGGUCAGAACAUAGAUGACCUUGACAAGUACUGAGACGCAGAAAGCAAGCUUGAUUUUGUGGAAAGAACGCUGAGGUGGAGACAUCUUGCUCCUGCUGCCCCCUAAUACACUCAGUGAGAUUUCACCCUCUUCCCCUGCACUAAGGCCUAAUACACUAUGUGUACUACAUGUUCUUGUCCUUUCACGGAUAGAGACCCUUUCUUGAUUGAAACUUUUCCUCAUGUCUACUUCGUUGGGUAUCACGACAAAUACAUACGACACCCGUUUAAUAAAAAGGAUCAGAAGGUCAGUUGGUCCGGUUGAUAUGCAUUCCUAAAUUCUAUGAGACUGGUGUUGCUGUUGCGGUGAAUCUAAGGAAUCUGGAAAUGUCAUACUAGUAGCUUUAGCAUUCAGUUAUAAGUUAAACUCUCAACACUGAAGUUGUUGCUACUUGUGUAAAAUUUUAAUCUCCAAGUUCUAACCAGAUGUAGUAUUAACUAGACUAAACACUUUUUCAGAUAGCCGUUGGAUGUUAUUGGUCGUGUUACAGUCGGAUAUAUUAUCGUGAUCUCUAGAUUUGUGUUUAACC